UUUAUUUCAAAGAAGCCACAUUUCCCCCUUUCCCUUUACUUCUUCUACAGAGGAGAGUCUAGGGUUUAACAAACAUGUCUUCUGCUUCUCAGUUCCAAGCCCACCGUGGCCAUGGCCUUCCCCAUUUUUCAGUGCAGUCCCCUGAGACCUGCCAUAUUCAAGAAAGGUUCAGGGACAGUAAUGGCUGCUCGAAGGAACAUGAUCCCCUCAAACAUUGUACAUGAAAGAUUUUCUCGUUAAAGGUACUGUUGUUGGGUUUAUGUAUUUGUAAUACAUAAGGGUUUGACAUAGGGAAUGAAGCCGAUUGGUCCGUGUAGCAUAGUUAGAAAUCUAAUAUUCACAAAUUGUUGUAAAGUGCUAUCACAUUGACAUAUUUUGGAUAAUAGAUUUGGUGCUGCAACUUCUGGCUAUAGGCUUAUCAUAAUAAUUUGAUAUCUAAAUCGCAAUUUGCAA
This is a long non-coding RNA of Malus domestica (apple), 453 nucleotides long. RefSeq lists it as uncharacterized. The record is from RefSeq and is a predicted model, not a curated record. NCBI's taxonomy places the organism in Eukaryota, Viridiplantae, Streptophyta, Magnoliopsida, Rosales, Rosaceae.